This 468-nucleotide ribosomal RNA is filed under the name uncultured bacterium. RNAcentral's name for it is "partial 16S ribosomal RNA". It matches the Rfam family "Bacterial small subunit ribosomal RNA", at positions 28 to 507 of the family's 1533-position model. The record is from RNAcentral.
GACGAACGCUGGCGGCGUGCUUAACACAUGCAAGUCGGACGGAAAGGCCCUGCUUUUGUGGGGUGCUCGAGUGGCGAACGGGUGAGUAACACGUGAGUAACCUGCCCUUGACUUUGGGAUAACUUCAGGAAACUGGGGCUAAUACCGGAUAGGAGCUCCUGCUGCAUGGUGGGGGUUGGAAAGUUUCGGCGGUUGGGGAUGGACUCGCGGCUUAUCAGCUUGUUGGUGGGGUAGUGGCUUACCAAGGCUUUGACGGGUAGCCGGCCUGAGUGGGUGACCGGCCACAUUGGGACUGAGAUACGGCCCAGACUCCUACGGGAGGCAGCAGUGGGGAAUAUUGCACAAUGGGCGGAAGCCUGAUGCAGCAACGCCGCGUGCGGGAUGACGGCCUUCGGGUUGUAAACCGCUUUCGCCUGUGACGAAGCGUGAGUGACGGUAAUGGGUAAAGAAGCACCGGCUAACUACGUG